RNAcentral lists this ribosomal RNA (544 nucleotides) under uncultured bacterium. RNAcentral describes it as "partial 16S ribosomal RNA". It matches the Rfam family "Bacterial small subunit ribosomal RNA", at positions 355 to 889 of the family's 1533-position model. The record is from RNAcentral.
UGGGGAAUAUUGCACAAUGGGCGCAAGCCUGAUGCAGCCAUGCCGCGUGUGUGAAGAAGGCCUUCGGGUUGUAAAGCACUUUCAGCGAGGAGGAAGGUGGUGAGCUUAAUACGCUCAUCAAUUGACGUUACUCGCAGAAGAAGCACCGGCUAACUCCGUGCCAGCAGCCACGGUAAUACGGAGGGUGCAAGCGUUAAUCGGAAUUACUGGGCGUAAAGCGCACGCAGGCGGUUUGUUAAGUCAGAUGUGAAAUCCCCGGGCUCAACCUGGGAACUGCAUUUGAAACUGGCAAGCUAGAGUCUCGUAGAGGGGGGUAGAAUUCCAGGUGUAGCGGUGAAAUGCGUAGAGAUCUGGAGGAAUACCGGUGGCGAAGGCGGCCCCCUGGACGAAGACUGACGCUCAGGUGCGAAAGCGUGGGGCAGCAAACAGGAUUAGAUACCCUGGUAGUCCACGCUGUAAACGAUGUCGAUUUUGGAGGUUGUGCCCUUGAGGCGUGGCUUCCGGAGCUAACGCGUUAAAUCGACCGCCUGGGGAGUACGGCCGC